Long non-coding RNA from Canis lupus familiaris (dog), 608 nucleotides. RefSeq lists it as uncharacterized. Lineage: Eukaryota; Metazoa; Chordata; Mammalia; Carnivora; Canidae. The transcript is spliced from 3 exons. The record is from RefSeq and is a predicted model, not a curated record.
CAGGACCUGAGCACAAGGCAGAAGCUCAACCACUCACUGAUCCACCCAGGCGUCCCUCUAGACUCGCUAAAUGUUUGCUGAAUGACAAGCUGCCGGCAGGAUACCUGUUCCUUCUCGUGUGCGGUCUGGAUGUGGACGGAGAUCGGAGAAGCCCGAAUAUCAUCCGACAGUGGCUGGGGGAAGUGGAUCACCUGGAGGAGGGUCUCGAUGCACCGAGCCUUGGGCUGUCCAGAGAACCGCUGUGGAAGAAGUGGGAAGGUACACAGAUAUCUUUUCUGAGAUCUUCCACAGAAUGGUUUUGGGCAUAUCAGAACUUUCCUUCUGCUCUCCAGGUACCUGAUACAAGGAGUGAAAGUCCUGGGAUUCGUUCCAUGCAACCAAAGGCCCCUCGGGAGCAAAGAUAGUGUCUUAUUCUGCUCCAGAGCCCUAAUCUUUUUGAUAAUGGCUGAUACAUGGUUACUGAUCAAUACAUGUUUGUUGAGAAUUAAUUCAAUUUAACAAUUAUAACAACCUAAUGAAAUAGGAUUUUCUAUCCUCAUUUUUACAUAUGUGGAAAUUAGAGGUUAGAAAUAAAGUAACUUGAGGGCCUGGGUGGCUCAUCAGUUAAG